UAGUCAUAUGCUUGUCUUAAAGACUAAGCCAUGCAUGUCUAAGUAUAAAUAAUAUACAGUGAAACUGCGAAUGGCUCAUUAAAACAGUUAUAGUUUAUUCGAUAAUCUUUCUACAUGGAUAACCGUAGUAAUUCUAGAGCUAAUACAUGCUGCUAAACCUGACUUCUGGAAGGGUUGUAUUUAUUAGAUAUAAACCAAUGCCCUCGGGCGUUGUGAUGAUUCAUAAUAACUGAGCGAAUCGAGGCCGUGCCUUGAUGGAUCGUUCAAGUUUCUGCC
This 276-nucleotide ribosomal RNA is filed under the name uncultured eukaryote. Its description in RNAcentral is "partial 18S ribosomal RNA". It matches the Rfam family "Eukaryotic small subunit ribosomal RNA", at positions 21 to 311 of the family's 1831-position model. The record is from RNAcentral.